AGUGAACGCUGGCGGUAGGCCUAACACAUGCAAGUCGAACGGCAGCACAGUAAGAGCUUGCUCUUACGGGUGGCGAGUGGCGGACGGGUGAGGAAUACAUCGGAAUCUACAUUUUCGUGGGGGAUAACGUAGGGAAGCUUACGCUAAUACCGCAUACGACCUACGGGUGAAAGCAGGGGAUCUUCGGACCUUGCGCGAUUGAAUGAGCCGAUGUCGGAUUAGCUAGUUGGCGGGGUAAAGGCCCACCAAGGCGACGAUCCGUAGCUGGUCUGAGAGGAUGAUCAGCCACACUGGAACUGAGACACGGUCCAGACUCCUACGGGAGGCAGCAGUGGGGAAUAUUGGACAAUGGGCGCAAGCCUGAUCCAGCCAUACCGCGUGGGUGAAGAAGGCCUUCGGGUUGUAAAGCCCUUUUGUUGGGAAAGAAAAGCAGCAGGUUAAUACCCCGCUGUUCUGACGGUACCCAAAGAAUAAGCACCGGCUAACUUCGUG
This 492-nucleotide ribosomal RNA is filed under the name uncultured bacterium. Its description in RNAcentral is "partial 16S ribosomal RNA". It matches the Rfam family "Bacterial small subunit ribosomal RNA", at positions 29 to 507 of the family's 1533-position model. The record is from RNAcentral.